UUCGAUGAUCGCGAAGACGGAGGAGGUGUGUGCGCUGCUUCCUCCAGUAUUGCCUUGUGGUUUGAGGGUGGGAGCUGACGGAACCAAUCAGAGGGACGAGGAGGGUGAUCAUUUGCCCCUGUAUGCCAACGAGGUCCGUCGCAUGUUGAUUUCGAUCUGGAACGCAUUGAUCCAUCGAAAAUCCAAAUGCAUAUUGUUUUGAAUCCGAGGCCUAUAAUGACGUGCGCGUACAUAAUAAUCUCUCGGUCCUUCGCGACCCGGCGACGCAACCGGGAAUCCAAAGACGCGGAGGAGGAGGAAUAGAGAGCGCGAUGGGUCUGCAGGUAGAUUUUGAAGAAUAUGCUGCAAAAGCUAAAACGUUACCUGUAAAUACUACUAAGAAGAGCAAAUUGUUCCUGUAUGGGCUUUACUACCAAGCGACUGUCGGACCAGUGAAUACUAGAAUGUUGACCUGGUAUAUUCAAUAUGAGGGAUAGAGCCAAAUGAGAAGCUUGGAAGGCUGUUGAAGGGGAGGAAGCCAAAGGAGGAGGCUAUGAGUGACUACCUCACCAAGGUUAAACAGCUGCUCGAGGCAGCUGCUACUGCUGCUUAUGCUACUUUGUCACGCCUUGCUCAAUGUAGUACCAUUGUUUCAUUCGAGUUAAGAUGCAUGCGGAUGUCAAGUUUUUAGGUCAGCAAAGCUAAGUGUGGGCAUGUUGAAUGAGCAUUACCUGCAGCCCAUAUAUUUAGUGAAGCUUUAUUGAUUCCCGUUUGUUGGUGAUGGUGUGUUCUUUGCGGAGCUUAGUGACGUCCUCACAAGAACCACUGAGCUGUGGACGGGUACUCCAGUGUUGAGGUCAGCAUCGGUGAUCAUUAUUAGAGCCGCCAGGACCCUGAACGUACUUGAUAUCGAUCUCCAAUCUAUGUUAAGCCUUGGUGGUACACCCGAUUUGGACUUCGUAUCAUAAUUGUGUAUGGUGAGAAGGGGAGAAGGAUAUUGGAGUUGACUUCUGUGGUCCAGUAAAGAUUCAACUUUUUGGAAAAUGGUGUGGAGCUCUACACCGAAGGUCAACAACAGAGGGCUUUGUGCAAUUGCUUGGGCUAUCUUUCUGGUACAAGCUUCUCGGAGGAGUGUCAUUCCUUCUUAACAUGGAGGAGAAGGGAGCAUAGGAGAGGAGAGCAAAGUGAGAGUGAAGCGCUUAUAUGUUUGUAAUGAUAGAUACGGCUGUUGGAUCGUUUCUUGAACAGAAUCCAAAUCUAAAUCCUGUGUUUCCUAAAGCCCCAAGAUUAAUUAAUUAAUUAAUUAAUUAGGUUUAUAUGUUUAAUUUGAUAUAUAUAUUUAUUUCGAAAUCAAGUUUUCCUAUUUCUCUCCUGUCUUAUUUUUCUCUAUCCUUCCGUCCAUAGUGUCUCCGAGAUUCUCUAUUCCUAACUCUCUAUUGAACUCAAGUUUGAAUUCGUGGCAUACUCUCUGAAUGAGGUGGAUUAUUUUGUGUGUAACAUGCAUAGAGACUCCAGUAAAUGCCAGUUCUUAGAUCAUGGCAUGAUUCUGUUCAACUCAAGCUUGAAAUGACAUGCAUAACUGAUCUUGGAAGAACAGCAAACAAAGAUAAUUUCUGAUGGUAACUGGGAUAAGUAGUUUAUGGUAGAAAAUUUUUCAAUGAAACUAUUCUGAUGACGGCAGCAAAAUGAUUGUUACAGUCAAAAUUUUGAUGAAGUCAUUAAGUCAUUGCAAUUGGAUUCUUGGUUUUUUCUUCAUUUAUAACGGUUGCCAAUGCCUGUGUGUUUUUGCUGCAACUUCAAGCAUUAUGAUUUUGUUGCUGCUGCAUGGUUGACUGCAGUAGGAAUUUGUCUCAUACACAUGUUGAAAGCAUCAAGAACAAUUUUCGUCAAACUGUGUUCUUAACUUUUUUUAUUGUUUGAAUCCAAACUCUCCUUUUCAAGUAUCUUGCCUUCUUGAUCACCUCUCUGGAUGCUGAUGAGCUUAAACUCUGCAAUAAGAAUAAUUUGGCUUGGCUAAGUUUAAAUGCUUGAGGAGAGGGAAAAACUCAAAAUAUCUUUCUUUUUCUUCUAUUUUGCUUUAUUUCUACAUCACUAGUGCCACAUGAUGAAGGAGAUGACUUUUUGUUCUUCCUAUUUGAUACUUCUGUCCCUGAAUUCUUUCUACAUCUCUAGUGCGGCAUGAUUACUUUAAUAGAGCUUGGUUUCCUCGCAAUGCUCAUAUAGAUACUUGCCUAUUGACAACUUCAACUAGAAAUGCUUGUCUGGUCGGUUGUACCUAAAUGCUUCGAAUUUUUUAUUGUACUAACCUUGUUUGUGCUGAAAUUUAGAUGGAUAAAUUUAUUGACUUUCUAAACAGUAAUAAAAACACAGAUAUACCUGGAGAAAUAUAUAUAUAUAUAUUCAAGUGCUUAAUGAUCCAUUUUAACUGACCUUUUGCUUUUAA
This is a long non-coding RNA of Musa acuminata AAA Group (dessert banana), 2422 nucleotides long. RefSeq lists it as uncharacterized. The transcript has 7 exons. The record is from RefSeq and is a predicted model, not a curated record. NCBI's taxonomy places the organism in Eukaryota, Viridiplantae, Streptophyta, Magnoliopsida, Zingiberales, Musaceae.